This is a long non-coding RNA of Prionailurus viverrinus (fishing cat), 413 nucleotides long. RefSeq lists it as uncharacterized. Lineage: Eukaryota; Metazoa; Chordata; Mammalia; Carnivora; Felidae. The transcript is spliced from 3 exons. The record is from RefSeq and is a predicted model, not a curated record.
GCUUGCGAUGAUGUGAGAUGAUAAAAUGCCUUCGAGAAGAGAUGAAGAGAAACGAACGACCCAGGCGUCGGGACGCAGCGUUAGGCUACCCCGGACCUGACGCUGCGUCGGGAGGAUCAUCCGCUUCCGGAUGCCAGUUGCCAGGGGUAACCGAAUCCGCUGCAAGCAAAACUGCGGAGAAGGCGGAAAUACCGUACCUGUGGUAGUUGGCGUUAGUCACGCAAUGGCGUGUGUUUUAUUAGCCAGAUGUCGGGCUCCAUCUCGGAACCAGGAGAUCAAGACCUGAGCAGAGAGGAAAAGUCAGACAUUUCACUGACUGAGCCACCCAGGCGCCCCAGGCAUGAAAUAUCUGAGCAUUUGUUUGUGUCAUCUUCAAUUCUUGCAUCAGUAUUUUACAGUUUCCAGAGUACAGA